UAGUAUUUGGUCGUAGACCCGAAACCAGGUGAUCUACCCAUGGUCAGGUUGAAGUUCAGGUAACACUGAAUGGAGGACCGAACCGACUUACGUUGAAAAGUGAGCGGAUGAACUGUGGGUAGCGGAGAAAUUCCAAUCGAACUUGGAGAUAGCUGGUUCUCUCCGAAAUAGCUUUAGGGCUAGCCUCAAGUGAUGAUUAUUGGAGGUAGAGCACUGUUUGGACGAGGGGCCCCUCUCGGGUUACCGAAUUCAGACAAACUCCGAAUGCCAAUUAAUUUAACUUGGGAGUCAGAACAUGGGUGAUAAGGUCCGUGUUCGAAAGGGAAACAGCCCAGACCACCAGCUAAGGUCCCAAAAUAUAUGUUAAGUGGAAAAGGAUGUGGCGUUGCCCAGACAACUAGGAUGUUGGCUUAGAAGCAGCCAUCAUUUAAAGAGUGCGUAAUAGCUCACUAGUCGAGUGACACUGCGCCGAAAAUGUACCGGGGCUAAACAUAUUACCGAAGCUGUGGAUUGUCCUUUGGACAAUGGUAGGAGAGCGUUCUAAGGGCGUUGAAGCAUGAUCGCAAGGACAUGUGGAGCGCUUAGAAGUGAGAAUGCCGGUGUGAGUAGCGAAAGACGGGUGAGAAUCCCGUCCACCGAUUGACUAAGGUUUCCAGAGGAAGGCUCGUCCGCUCUGGGUUAGUCGGGUCCUAAGCUGAGGCCGACAGGCGUAGGCGAUGGAUAACAGGUUGAUAUUCCUGUACCACCUAUAAUCGUUUUAAUCGAUG
This 767-nucleotide ribosomal RNA is filed under the name Staphylococcus hominis. RNAcentral describes it as "partial 23S ribosomal RNA". It matches the Rfam family "Bacterial large subunit ribosomal RNA", at positions 697 to 1466 of the family's 2925-position model. Lineage: Bacteria; Bacillati; Bacillota; Bacilli; Caryophanales; Staphylococcaceae. The record is from RNAcentral.